ACGAGUUUGAUCCUGGCGUCAGGAUGAACGCUAGCGGCAGGCCUAAUACAUGCAAGUCGAACGGUAAGGCCCUUUCGGGGGUACACGAGUGGCGGACGGGUGCGUAACGCGUAUGCAACAUACCUUCAAGCGGGGGAUAUGCCAGGGAAACUUGGUGCAACACCCCAUAGCAUUUCGGGACCGCAUGGUCUUGGGAUUAAAUAUUUAUAGCUUGGAGAUUGGCAUGCGUGACAUUAGCUAGUUGGCGGGGUAACGGCCCACCAAGGCGACGAUGUCUAGCUGGUCUGAGAGGAUGAUCAGCCACACUGGGACUGAGACACGGCCCAGACUCCUACGGGAGGCAGCAGUAGGGAAUAUUGGACAAUGGGGGGAACCCUGAUCCAGCCAUGCCGCGUGAGGGAAGAAGGUCCUCUGGAUUGUAAACCUCUUUUGGCGGGGGACAAACCUGCACUAUACGUGCAGCUGAGGGUACCCGCAGAAUAAGCACCGGCUAACUCCGUG
This 501-nucleotide ribosomal RNA is filed under the name uncultured bacterium. RNAcentral's name for it is "bacterial SSU rRNA". It matches the Rfam family "Bacterial small subunit ribosomal RNA", at positions 1 to 507 of the family's 1533-position model. The record is from RNAcentral.